GCCCACCAACCAUGAUUUCUGUUAAUAAUUUAUAUAAAAUAUUUUGAUGAAUAUUUAUAUAAUAUUAACAUAAUUCAUAUUACUAUUUUUUUUUUUAGUAUAUGAAAUUUUACUUUGAGAAAAUUAGAGUGCUUAAAGCAGGCUUAUGCCUUGAAUACUCCAGCAUGGAAUAAUAUUAAAGAUUUUUAUCUUUUUUAUUGGUUCUAAAAAAAAAAUAAUGAUUAAAGGGGACAGGGGGGGGCUUUUUUUUUUAACCGCCAGAGGGAAAAUUCUAAAUUUUGUAAAAAACAAACUAAGGCAAAACCUUUUGCCAAGGAUUUUUUCAUUAACCAAAAACAAAAGUGGGGGGAUCAAAAACAAUAAAAUCCCGCCGUAUUCUUAACCAAAAACUCCCCCAACAAAAAGUGGGAGGUUGUU
Molecule: ribosomal RNA, 417 nt
Filed under: Cryptosporidium hominis
Lineage: Eukaryota; Apicomplexa; Conoidasida; Eucoccidiorida; Cryptosporidiidae
Description: partial small subunit ribosomal RNA
Rfam family: Eukaryotic small subunit ribosomal RNA
Source: RNAcentral